GAUGAACGCUGGCGGCGUGCCUAAUACAUGCAAGUCGAGCGAACGGACGAGAAGCUUGCUUCUCUGAUGUUAGCGGCGGACGGGUGAGUAACACGUGGAUAACCUACCUAUAAGACUGGGAUAACUUCGGGAAACCGUAGCUAAUACCGGAUAAUAUUUUGAACCGCAUGGUUCAAAAGUGAAAGACGGUCUUGCUGUCACUUAUAGAUGGAUCCGCGCUGCAUUAUCUAGUUGGUAAGGUAACUGCUUACCAAGGCAACGAUGCAUAGCCGACCUGAGAGGGUGAUCGGCCACACUGGAACUGAGACACGGUCCAGACUCCUACGGGAGGCAGCAGUAGGGAAUCUUCCGCAAUGGGCGAAAGCCUGACGGAGCAACGCCGCGUGAGUGAUGAAGGUCUUCGGAUCGUAAAACUCUGUUAUUAGGGAAGAACAUAUGUGUAAGUAACUGUGCACAUCUUGACGGUACCUAAUCAGAAAGCCACGGCUAACUACGUG
Molecule: ribosomal RNA, 497 nt
Filed under: uncultured bacterium
Lineage: Bacteria
Description: partial 16S ribosomal RNA
Rfam family: Bacterial small subunit ribosomal RNA
Source: RNAcentral